UAAUAUAUAAUUAAUUAAUGAAAUUCAUCACAAAAUAUUAAAAGUCAUGAGAAAUAACUUAAAAUAUUUUCUUAUACCAUAAAAUAAUUUUUCAUGAUUUUUCAUUAAUUAAAACUAUUUUUAAAAAUCAUAAUUAGUGCGUGACUUAAGAAAAUUAGCUACCUCGUGAUUAACUCCAGAGAUACCCAUCUUUUGACAUAACCAUACACAUGUUAACGUGACACUCCAGUUUAAAUUUCGUGGCAAUCGGAGUUGUAGAACUCCGGUUAUAGCGAUUUUCGUCGGAAAAUCACAAAAAUUGAAAUGGUCAUAACUUGGUCGUUUUAACUCGAAAUUAGCUCAUUUUUGGACACGAGCUACAUAAUACCAUAUAUUUUCAUUUUCCAAAAGUCCGGAAUUUUUCUCACAAGAAAAGUUGACAAAACAGCCCUUGCAAAAUAUUAGCAGCUUACUUUUUGUACUUUGGCAGUUUUGGAGUCCUUUACCAAAACUUAAAUAAAAUGAAAUCUAAAACUCCGAUUAAUGAUCCGUAAAUUUUGUUGGAUUCCUAUCUUUCCGAACUACAGUUUUCAUCUAUCAAAAUCCAUAUUUGGACAUGUUAAGCUCCCAGAAAUUAGCCCGGAAGUGGCUGUUACAAACUGUUAUUUUAACAGUUUUUCUUACAUUUGAGUAGUUUGGGAGAAAUUUCAUAACUCUCUCCUCCGAUGUCGGAUUUAGUCCGUUUCGGAGUCUAUGGAAAGCUUAUUGAGUGUACUAUAACAUACCAAAAGCCAAAAAGUUUUAGAACAAGCUAGCUAACACAGAAAAGUUCUUUUUAGGUCAGCGGUUUACUAGUUUUUACACUUUAGAAAAAUUAGUUUUCUUUCCCUUCCUUACUUAAGCUUUUCACUACCAAAAAUGGUUAGAUCUACUCAUAAAACACUCUAAAUCAUGUAGAUCUAGAGUUUUGAAGAUCAAGAACAUAAAU
This 967-nucleotide long non-coding RNA is filed under the name Panax ginseng (ginseng). RNAcentral describes it as "long non-coding RNA (PGIN_LNC003407)". The record is from RNAcentral. Lineage: Eukaryota; Viridiplantae; Streptophyta; Magnoliopsida; Apiales; Araliaceae.